Molecule: ribosomal RNA, 851 nt
Filed under: uncultured soil bacterium
Lineage: Bacteria
Description: bacterial SSU rRNA
Rfam family: Bacterial small subunit ribosomal RNA
Source: RNAcentral
CUGCAGUCGACGGCAGCACGGGUGCUUGCACCUGGUGGCGAGUGGCGAACGGGUGAGUAAUAUAUCGGAACGUACCCUAGAGUGGGGGAUAACGCAGCGAAAGUUGCGCUAAUACCGCAUACGAUCUACGGAUGAAAGUGGGGGAUCGCAAGACCUCAUGCUCAUGGAGCGGCCGAUAUCUGAUUAGCUAGUUGGUGGGGUAAAAGCCUACCAAGGCAUCGAUCAGUAGCUGGUCUGAGAGGACGACCAGCCACACUGGAACUGAGACACGGUCCAGACUCCUACGGGAGGCAGCAGUGGGGAAUUUUGGACAAUGGGCGCAAGCCUGAUCCAGCAAUGCCGCGUGAGUGAAGAAGGCCUUCGGGUUGUAAAGCUCUUUUGUCAGGGAAGAAACGGUGAGGGCUAAUAUCCUUUGCUAAUGACGGUACCUGAAGAAUAAGCACCGGCUAACUACGUGCCAGCAGCCGCGGUAAUACGUAGGGUGCAAGCGUUAAUCGGAAUUACUGGGCGUAAAGCGUGCGCAGGCGGUUAUGUAAGUCAGAUGUGAAAUCCCCGGGCUCAACCUGGGAAUGGCAUUUGAGACUGCAUGGCUAGAGUGUGUCAGAGGGGGGUAGAAUUCCACGUGUAGCAGUGAAAUGCGUAGAGAUGUGGAGGAAUACCGAUGGCGAAGGCAGCCCCCUGGGAUAACACUGACGCUCAUGCACGAAAGCGUGGGGAGCAAACAGGAUUAGAUACCCUGGUAGUCCACGCCCUAAACGAUGUCUACUAGUUGUCGGGACUUAAUUGUCUUGGUAACGCAGCUAACGCGUGAAGUAGACCGCCUGGGGGAGUACGGUCGCAAGAUUAAAACU